UAUGUGAUCGUCUCUCGCAUAUCAAUAAGCGGAGGAAAAGAAACUAACAAGGAUUCCCCUAGUAACGGCGAGUGAAGCGGGAAGAGCUCAAAUUUGAAAUCUUAAAGGGUUUCCCUUUACGAAUUGUAGUUUAAAGAAGUGUUUUCUGUUAGAGGUUUUGGUAAAAGUUCUUUGGAAUAGGACAUCAUAGAGGGUGAGAAUCCCGUAUUUGACCUUUACUUUCAACUUUGUGAUACACUUUCAAAGAGUCGGAUUGUUUGGGAAUGCAGUCCAAAAUGGGUGGUAAAUUUCAUCUAAAGCUAAAUAUUGGCGAGAGACCGAUAGCGAACAAGUACCGUGAGGGAAAGAUGAAAAGAACUUUGAAAAGAGAGUUAAACAGUACGUGAAAUUGUCAAAAGGGAAGCGUUUGACACCAGUGCUGUUUUUCUGAAAAUCAAUUAAAGAACUGUUUAUGCUAAGUUGUUUAGACUUUAUCAGCUAACUGUUUAGUUUUGAGCUUUUCUUUAAUGCACUUUUCAGUUAACAAGUCAACAUCAAUUUCUUUUGCUGUAAAAAAGCUUGAGGAAGGUGGCUUGAGAUUCGUCUUAAGUGUUUAUAGCCUCUUGCCUAUGCAGUCGGAGAGAUUGAGGUCUGCAGCGUAGAUCCUUCGGGGCUAAAUGCAUUUGUGCUAAGUUAUAGCAUUUUAUAGACAACUUGUUGACUAUGAUUUGUCUUGUAGCUUACUCGCUUAUGUUAUUUUACCUACGCUUAGGAUGUUGAUCUACAGAGCGAGAGU
This 775-nucleotide ribosomal RNA is filed under the name uncultured Neocallimastigales. RNAcentral describes it as "partial large subunit ribosomal RNA". It matches the Rfam family "Eukaryotic large subunit ribosomal RNA", at positions 24 to 634 of the family's 3401-position model. Lineage: Eukaryota; Fungi; Neocallimastigomycota; Neocallimastigomycetes; Neocallimastigales. The record is from RNAcentral.